GCCGAGGUAGCUCAGCCUGGGAGAGCGCCCGGCUGAAGACCGGGUUGACAGCCUUAAAGCUGGCCUAAUCG
Molecule: transfer RNA, 71 nt
Filed under: Candidatus Bathyarchaeota archaeon
Lineage: Archaea; Thermoproteati; Candidatus Bathyarchaeota
Description: tRNA-Phe
Source: RNAcentral